This 328-nucleotide ribosomal RNA is filed under the name uncultured eukaryote. Its description in RNAcentral is "partial 18S ribosomal RNA". It matches the Rfam family "Eukaryotic small subunit ribosomal RNA", at positions 1470 to 1796 of the family's 1831-position model. The record is from RNAcentral.
CCCUUAGAUGUUCUGGGCCGCACGCGCGCUACACUGACGGAGCCAGCGAGUAUAAACCUUGGCCGAGAGGUCUGGGAAAUCUUGUGAAACUCCGUCGUGCUGGGGAUAGAGCAUUGUAAUUAUUGCUCUUCAACGAGGAAUUCCUAGUAAGCGCAAGUCAUCAGCUUGCGUUGAUUACGUCCCUGCCCUUUGUACACACCGCCCGUCGCUACUACCGAUUGAAUGGCUUAGUGAGGCUUCCGGAUUGGUUUAGAGAAGGGGGCAACUCCAUCUUGGAACCGAGAAGCUAGUCAAACUUGGUCAUUUAGAGGAAGUAAAAGUCGUAACA